GGUCCAGCCUGCCCAGUGACCCCGUUUAACGGCCGCGGUAUCCUAACCGUGCAAAGGUAGCAUAAUCACUUGUCUCUUAAAUAGGGACUAGUAUGAACGGCUAAAUGAGGAUCACACUGUCUCUUGUAACUGACCAAUGAAACUGAUCUUGUAGUUCAAAAGCUACAAUAAAAACACCAGACGAGAAGACCCUGUGGAGCUUCAAACCAAAACCAAACUAAUGGCCCAUUGGUUUUUAGUUGGGGCAACUUCGGAGAAUAAACUAACCUCCGAAAAUAUAAGCUAAGACAAACAAGUCAAAACAACUUCCUUGACCCAAUAGACAACUUAAACUAUUUGACCAAUGAACCAAGUUACCCCAGGGAUAACAGCGCUAUCCCCUUUUAGAGUCCCUAUCGACAAGGGGGCUUACGACCUCGAUGUUGGAUCAGGACACCCCAAUAAUGCAGCCGUUAUUAAAGGUUCGUUUGUUCAACGAUUAAAGUCCUA
RNAcentral lists this ribosomal RNA (489 nucleotides) under Mesalina adramitana. RNAcentral's name for it is "partial 16S ribosomal RNA". It matches the Rfam family "Bacterial large subunit ribosomal RNA", at positions 1851 to 2598 of the family's 2925-position model. The record is from RNAcentral. Lineage: Eukaryota; Metazoa; Chordata; Lepidosauria; Squamata; Lacertidae.